RNAcentral lists this ribosomal RNA (468 nucleotides) under uncultured bacterium. RNAcentral describes it as "partial 16S ribosomal RNA". It matches the Rfam family "Bacterial small subunit ribosomal RNA", at positions 28 to 507 of the family's 1533-position model. The record is from RNAcentral.
GACGAACGCUGGCGGCGUGCUUAACACAUGCAAGUCGAACGGAAAGGCCCUGCUUUUGUGGGGUGCUCGAGUGGCGAACGGGUGAGUAACACGUGAGUAACCUGCCCUUGACUUUGGGAUAACUUCAGGAAACUGGGGCUAAUACCGGAUAGGAGCUCCUGCUGCAUGGUGGGGGUUGGAAAGUUUCGGCGGUUGGGGAUGGACUCGCGGCUUAUCAGCUUGUUGGUGGGGUAGUGGCUUACCAAGGCUUUGACGGGUAGCCGGCCUGAGAGGGUGACCGGCCACAUUGGGACUGAGAUACGGCCCAGACUCCUACGGGACGCAGCAGUGGGGAAUAUUGCACAAUGGGCGGAAGCCUGAUGCAGCAACGCCGCGUGCGGGAUGACGGCCUUCGGGUUGUAAACCGCUUUCGCCUGUGACGAAGCGUGAGUGACGGUAAUGGGUAAAGAAGCACCGGCUAACUACGUG